This 517-nucleotide ribosomal RNA is filed under the name Clostridioides difficile. Its description in RNAcentral is "partial 23S ribosomal RNA". It matches the Rfam family "Bacterial large subunit ribosomal RNA", at positions 1 to 520 of the family's 2925-position model. The record is from RNAcentral. Lineage: Bacteria; Bacillati; Bacillota; Clostridia; Peptostreptococcales; Peptostreptococcaceae.
UGGUCAAGUUAUUAAGGGUGCAGGGCGGAUGCCUUGGCACUAGGAGCCGAUGAAGGACGCGAUAAGCUGCGAUAAGCUUCGGGGAGUUGCACGUAAACUUUGAUCCGAAGAUUUCCGAAUGAGGAAACUCACUUAGAGUAAUGUCUAAGUAUCAUUAAGUGAAUUCAUAGCUUAAUGAGGGGAACUCAGGGAACUGAAACAUCUAAGUACCUGAAGGAAGAGAAAGAAAUUCGAUUCCGUAAGUAGCGGCGAGCGAACGCGGAAGAGCCCAAACCAAUAAAGUUUUCUUUAUUGGGGUUGCGGACAUAUCAUAACGAAGAGGUAUCGUAAUUGAAGAGGUUUGGAAAGACCCACCACAGAAGGUAAUAGUCCUGUAUGUUAAACGAGAAGACUUUAGAUAUGAUCCAGAGUACCACGGGACACGUGAAACCCUGUGGGAAGCAGGAGGGACCACCCUCCAAGGCUAAAUACUACCUAGUGACCGAUAGCGUAUAGUACCGUGAGGGAAAGGUGAAAA